GAACAGAUUGGCCCAAGUGUUUUGAUUGGAUGUCUGGACUUCAACGAAGAACUAUAAGUAUUAACAAAUCACCCAAUCACAAUUUUUGCGUGGCUUGUAGAAGGGCUUGCUGAGAUGGGAUGUCAAGAGCUGCUUAAAGAUUAUCACAAAUGAUUGUAAUGAUUCCAAGUUUAAACAGCUGUGGAACAACUCAACCAGUCAGUUUUAGCAAUGUUCCAUGGUG
Non-coding RNA from Pelobates cultripes (western spadefoot toad), 223 nucleotides. The record is from the annotation of a GenBank genome assembly. NCBI's taxonomy places the organism in Eukaryota, Metazoa, Chordata, Amphibia, Anura, Pelobatidae.